AAUCAACGCUGGCGGCGUGCCUAACACAUGCAAGUCGAACGCGAAAGUCCCGCAAGGGAUGAGUAGCGUGGCAAACGGGUGAGUAACACGUGGGUGACCUGCCUUCGAGGUGGGGAUAACGUCCCGAAAGGGACGCUAAUACCGCAUGACAUCCUGCCUUUGAACAGGUGGAGAUCAAAGCUGGGGAUCGCAAGACCUAGCGCUGGAAGAGGGGCCCGCGCCUGAUUAGCUAGUUGGUGGGUAACGGCUCACCAAGGCAACGAUCAGUAUCCGGCCUGAGAGGGCGGACGGACACACUGGGACUGAGACACGGCCCAGACUCCUACGGGAGGCAGCAGUGGGAAUUGUUCGCAAUGGGCGCAAGCCUGACGACGCAACGCCGCGUGGAGA
This 390-nucleotide ribosomal RNA is filed under the name uncultured bacterium. RNAcentral describes it as "bacterial SSU rRNA". It matches the Rfam family "Bacterial small subunit ribosomal RNA", at positions 29 to 407 of the family's 1533-position model. The record is from RNAcentral.